This 301-nucleotide ribosomal RNA is filed under the name uncultured bacterium. RNAcentral's name for it is "partial 16S ribosomal RNA". It matches the Rfam family "Bacterial small subunit ribosomal RNA", at positions 509 to 807 of the family's 1533-position model. The record is from RNAcentral.
CAGUCGCCACGGGAAUACGAAGGGUGCAAGCGUUAAUCGGAAUUACUGGGCGUAAAGCGUGCGUAGGCGGUUUGUUAAGUCUGUUGUGAAAUCCCCGGGCUCAACCUGGGAAUGGCAAUGGAUACUGGCAAGCUAGAGUGUGUCAGAGGAUGGUGGAAUUCCCGGUGUAGCGGUGAAAUGCGUAGAGAUCGGGAGGAACAUCAGUGGCGAAGGCGGCCAUCUGGGGCAACACUGACGCUGAGGCACGAAAGCGUGGGGAGCAGACAGGAUUAGAUACCCCAGUAGUCCCUGUCUCUUAUAC